Long non-coding RNA from Pantherophis guttatus, 228 nucleotides. RefSeq lists it as uncharacterized. The record is from RefSeq and is a predicted model, not a curated record. NCBI's taxonomy places the organism in Eukaryota, Metazoa, Chordata, Lepidosauria, Squamata, Colubridae.
CAAUGCAGAGUAGUAGUUUGGCUGCCAAUUUACCAGCUCUGUUGUAGGACAUACUCACGCGCUUCCUAAGAAAGAACUGAAAGCUGCUUCUUUGGCUGAGAAGGUUAAAGGACAUAACUGAAAAAAUACAGUUACCUUUCUGGAACAGAUUUACUGACAAUUAUCACUAGAGAAGAGAUGGAGUGAAUGCUUACCGAUGUACCGAGCGCAAGAAACUGCUGGACUUCC